This 494-nucleotide ribosomal RNA is filed under the name uncultured bacterium. Its description in RNAcentral is "partial 16S ribosomal RNA". It matches the Rfam family "Bacterial small subunit ribosomal RNA", at positions 28 to 507 of the family's 1533-position model. The record is from RNAcentral.
GACGAACGCUGGCGGCGUGCUUAACACAUGCAAGUCGAACGGUGAAGCGCCUUCCUUUUUGGUGGGUGUGGAUGAGUGGCGAACGGGUGAGUAACACGUGAGUAACCUGCCCCCUUCUUCUGGAUAACCGCAUGAAAGUGUGGCUAAUACGGGAUAUUCUGGGUCUGUCGCAUGAUGGGUCCGGGAAAGAUAUUGUUUCGGUGGGGGAUGGGCUCGCGGCCUAUCAGCUUGUUGGUGGGGUGAUGGCCUACCAAGGCGGUGACGGGUAGCCGGCCUGAGAGGGUGGACGGUCACACUGGGACUGAGACACGGCCCAGACUCCUACGGGAGGCAGCAGUGGGGAAUAUUGCACAAUGGGCGCAAGCCUGAUGCAGCGACGCCGCGUGGGGGAUGGAGGCCUUCGGGUUGUGAACCUCUUUCGCCAGUGAAGCAGGCCUGCCUCGUUUGUGGGUGGGUUGACGGUAGCUGGAUAAGAAGCGCCGGCUAACUACGUG